RNAcentral lists this ribosomal RNA (838 nucleotides) under Aquihelicascus thalassioideus. Its description in RNAcentral is "Pleosporales sp. WD-2020e partial large subunit ribosomal RNA". It matches the Rfam family "Eukaryotic large subunit ribosomal RNA", at positions 69 to 915 of the family's 3401-position model. The record is from RNAcentral. Lineage: Eukaryota; Fungi; Ascomycota; Dothideomycetes; Pleosporales; Morosphaeriaceae.
CAGGGAUUGCCCUAGUAACGGCGAGUGAAGCGGCAACAGCUCAAAUUUGAAAUCUGGCUCUCUUGUGGGGUCCGAGUUGUAAUUUGUAGAGGGCGCUUUGGCACUGAUGGCGGUCUAAGUUCCUUGGAACAGGACAUCACAGAGGGUGAGAAUCCCGUACGUGGUCGCUAAUCUUUUGCUGUGUAAAGCCCCUUCAACGAGUCGAGUUGUUUGGGAAUGCAGCUCUAAAUGGGAGGUAAAUUUCUUCUAAAGCUAAAUAUUGGCCAGAGACCGAUAGCGCACAAGUAGAGUGAUCGAAAGAUGAAAAGCACUUUGGAAAGAGAGUCAAAAAGCACGUGAAAUUGUUGAAAGGGAAGCGCUUGCCGCCAGACUUGCCUGUAGUUGCUCACCUAGGCGUUAAGCCCGGGGCACUCUUCUGCAGGCAGGCCAGCAUCAGUUUGGGCAGCCGGAUAAAGGUCUCUGACACGUUCCAUCCUUCGUAGAUGGCCAUAUAGGGGAGACGUCAUGCGGUUAGCCUGGACUGAGGUCCGCGCAUUGCUAGGAUGCUGGCGUAAUGGCUGCAAGCGGCCCGUCUUGAAACACGGACCAAGGAGUCUAACAUCUAUGCGAGUGUUUGGGUGUCAAGCCCGAGCGCGCAAUAAACGUGAACGGAGGUGGGAACCCUCUUUGCGGGGGGUGCACUAUCGACCGAUCCUGAUGUCUUCGGAUGGAUUUGAGUAAGAGCAUAGCUGUUGGGACCCGAAAGAUGGUGAACUAUGCUUGAAUAGGGUGAAGCCAGAGGAAACUCUGGUGGAGGCUCGCAGCGGUUCUGACGUGCAAAUCGAUCGUCAAAUUUGGG